GACGGAGGGUGCAAGCGUUAUUCGGAAUUAUUGGGCGUAAACAGCGUGUAGGCGGCCGGUUAAGUCAGGUGUGAAAGCCCGGGGCUCAACCUCGGAAGUGCACUUGAUACUGGUCGGCUUGAGUUCGGGAGAGGGAAGCGGAAUUCCUGGUGUAGAGGUGAAAUUCGUAGAUAUCAGGAGGAACAUCGGUGGCGAAGGCGGCUUCCUGGACCGAAACUGACGCUGAGACGCGAAAGCGUGGGGAGCAAACAGG
RNAcentral lists this ribosomal RNA (253 nucleotides) under uncultured bacterium. Its description in RNAcentral is "partial 16S ribosomal RNA". It matches the Rfam family "Bacterial small subunit ribosomal RNA", at positions 524 to 776 of the family's 1533-position model. The record is from RNAcentral.